This is a long non-coding RNA of Drosophila pseudoobscura, 574 nucleotides long. RefSeq lists it as uncharacterized. The transcript is spliced from 2 exons. The record is from RefSeq and is a predicted model, not a curated record. Lineage: Eukaryota; Metazoa; Arthropoda; Insecta; Diptera; Drosophilidae.
GCUGCAAAGGAUUCGAAACCAUAUGUAAGCCGAUCUCUGGCAGGACACACACAAAACACACAGAAGCGACGAUAAAACAAAAGCAAACAAAACUCAAACAAUGACAAACAGAGCAAAGCAAAACAAACACUAGACAUUUAAAGGAAAGUAUAAAAGAAAAGCCAUUUUACGCGUGUCGAGUCAGAGAGUUUAAAUAGGCCGCCACAUUCGUGCUAUUUCCCUCCAUUUGGUUGCUCUCUCGCUGCUUGCUGUUCCAAUGGAAAAUGAAUGAAUGAAUGGUUAACGAAAAAAUAAUCAACGAAAAAUCAAAGAAGAAUCCAAACUACUGCGAGGAUGCCGCCCCAGAGGAUGGAGAAACCAGUGUUUGAAAAGUAACAGUAGGAGCAGGAAAUAUUUUAAAGGACUUCUAAUAUUUUGAGAACAACGAAAAUUAAUGUAAGUUUUCAAACACUGAUGGAAACUACUGGUUGGACGGCACAUGGCUCCACAUGGGGCUCCAGCAAAGAUGCAAAAUUCUCCGAUUUUUUUGCUUUAAUGUACAUAAAUAUACUUCACAGUCAAUUAGCUCUGGAGA